RNAcentral lists this long non-coding RNA (211 nucleotides) under Daucus carota (carrot). Its description in RNAcentral is "long non-coding RNA (DCAR_LNC006580)". Lineage: Eukaryota; Viridiplantae; Streptophyta; Magnoliopsida; Apiales; Apiaceae. The record is from RNAcentral.
AGAAAAACUCUGUUUCAAAGAAUUCAUUUGACUUUGCAGAGCCUCCAUUUGAGUGUUCCAGUCAGGAGGAUAUACAGAACUUGUAGGAACAACUUCAAUGCUGGCUUGCAAUGCUUGACCAGAGUUGGAAUUUUUGACAAAAGGCUUCUUUCGUCCUCCGUUCUUUGGAUGAUAAGGAUUAUCAUUGGGAUAGCCAAUCAAUUUGUAACAC